CAAUUUUCACCAAAAAUUGCUAGGCUGAUAGUCCUAAAGGUCCAGAAGGUUCUUCAGGUAGUAGGAAUGGCUCUAAUAAGCAUCCAGCCCCUCCUCCUGAUAGUGAAGAUGAUAAAAGUGACGAUGAAGGAGGGCUAGUCGUUGAUGAGGAUCCUUCUUCUCCUUCAACCACUCUAGCAGCUGCAAUGGUAAAGGCUCUGGCACAGCAGCAGUCCAAUUCAGAUCUUCGUCCAUCUUCAAAACGACCCUCGACUCCAUCUUCAACAAAAAGUGACAAACCAUCUUCUGUUCCUCCUAAUCGUCCUAAUUCAGUUGGUCCAAUCACUGUUAAUGGUCCUGGACCAUCUAAUGCUAGCUCUCCUAGUGGUGUACCUCCUAGACAACAGCAUGUACCUUUAAGUAAGUAUAUACAUGUACAUGUAUGGAGGGUUUCCCACAAAGCAUGCUAAGUGAGCUAAACAGUAUGCGUGAUGUAGGUGGUAUUGGAGGUUUAUUGUGGGAUGGUGGCAUAUCAGAAAGAUAGAGCGGAUCCUGAUCUGGUUUGCAUUGAAAUUUUGAUUGUAACAAUUAUCAUAGUAAUUAUUUAUAGGUAACCUUUACUGAAGAUCAGAGGGCUGAUUCUAAAGCUUUCUUUUCAAUGGCUGACAUUCAUGUGAGGGAAUCUUUAUCUCAGGAAGAUGCAGAAAUGUUUAGAAGUGUUGUAAAUGGAUGUGUUCAGCGUUAUAGCAAGAGGUGGACAGCAAAAAAGGUACUUGAUGUACUCCAUGAUGACAAUGAGAUAUAAACUAAAACUACUACUAGACUCUGCAUAUCAUUUAUUCAUUAUUUAGUAUCAUUUUACAACAUGUAUUUUCAUUCAAUCAUA
Molecule: long non-coding RNA, 865 nt
Organism: Amphimedon queenslandica
Lineage: Eukaryota; Metazoa; Porifera; Demospongiae; Haplosclerida; Niphatidae
Exons: 5
Source: RefSeq, a predicted model, not a curated record